GAUGAAGAACGUAGCGAAAUGCGAUACGUAAUGUGAAUUGCAGAAUUCAGUGAAUCAUCGAAUCUUUGAACGCACAUUGCGCCCGCCAGUAUUCUGGCGGGCAUGCCUGUUCGAGCGUCAUUUCAACCAUCAAGCCCCCGGCUUGUGUUGGGGACCUGCGGCUGCCGCAGGCCCUGAAAACCAGUGGCGGGCUCGCUAGUCACUCCGAGCGUAGUAAUACAUCUCGCUCAGGGCGUGCUGCGGGUUCCGGCCGUUAAAAAGCCUUAUUUACCCAAGGUUGACCUCGGAUCAGGUAGGAAGACCCGCUGAACUUAAGCAUAUCAAUAAGCGGAGGA
RNAcentral lists this unclassified non-coding RNA (335 nucleotides) under soil metagenome. RNAcentral's name for it is "partial contains 5.8S ribosomal RNA, internal transcribed spacer 2, and large subunit ribosomal RNA". The stretch from base 1 to 120 matches the Rfam family "5.8S ribosomal RNA", at positions 35 to 154 of the family's 154-position model. The record is from RNAcentral.